RNAcentral lists this ribosomal RNA (1495 nucleotides) under uncultured Bordetella sp. Its description in RNAcentral is "partial 16S-23S ribosomal RNA intergenic spacer". It matches the Rfam family "Bacterial small subunit ribosomal RNA". Lineage: Bacteria; Pseudomonadati; Pseudomonadota; Betaproteobacteria; Burkholderiales; Alcaligenaceae. The record is from RNAcentral.
CGGUUACGUAUUGCUCCUGGAGCAUCAGGUAUGGCGCAAGGGUUCGAUCAUGGCUCAGAUUGAACGCUGGCGGGAUGCUGUGCAAGUCGAACAGCGGCACGGACUUCGGUCUGGUGGCGAGUGGCGAACAGGUGAGUAAUGUAUCGGAACGUGCCUAGUAGCGGGGGAUAACUACGCGGCGUAGCUAAUACCACGCAUACGCCCUUCGGGGAAAGCGAGGACCUUCAGGGCUGCACUAUUAAACGGCCGAUAUCGGAUUGGCCUAGUUGGUGGGGGUAACGGCUCGCAAGGCGACGAUCCGUAGCUGGUUUGAGAGGACGACCAGCCACACUGGGACGGACGCAGCCCAGACUCCUGCGGGAGGCAGCAGUGGGGAAUUUUGGACAAUGGGAAGCCCUGAUCCGGCCAUCGCGUGUGCGAUGAGGCCUUCGGGUUGUAAAGCACUUUUGGCAGGAAAGAAACAGCACGGGAUAAUGCCCCGUGCAACUGACUGAUACCUGCAGAAUAAGCACCGGCUAACUACGUGCCCAGCAGCCGCGGUAAUACGUAAGGUGCAAGCGUUAAUCAAGAUUAUGGGCGUAAAGCGUGCGCAGGCGGUUCGGAAAAGAUGUGAAAUCCCAGAGCUUAACUUUUGGAACUGCAUUUUUAACUACCGAGCUAGAGUGUCAGGGAGGUGGGUUACGUGUAGCAGUGAAAUGCGUAGAUAUGCGGAGGAACACCGAUGGCGAGCAGCCUCCUGGGAUAACGACGCUCAUGCACAGCGUGGGGGCAAACAGGAUUAGAUACCCUGGUAGUCCACGCCCUAAACGAUGUCAACUAGCUGUUGAGGCCUUCGGGCCUUGGUAGCGCAAUAACGCGUGAAGAGUUGACCGCCUGGGGAUACGGUCGCAAGAUUAAAACUCAAAAUUGACGGGGACCCGCACAAGCGGUGGAUGAUGUGUGGAUUGAAGACUAAAUUACUGCUUGCGAAAAACCUCCUACCCUUGACAUGUCACCGUCCCGAAGAGAUUUGGGAGUGCUCGCAAGAGAACCGGAACACAGGUGCUGCAUGGCUGUCGUCAGCUCGUGUCGUGAGAUGUUGGGUUAAGUCCGCAACGAGCACAACCCUUGUCAUUAGAUUGCUACGAAAAGGGCACUCUAAUGAGACUGCCGGUGACAAACGGAGGAAAGUGCAGGGGAUGACGUCAGGUCCUCAUGGCCCUUAUGGAUAGGGCUUCACACGUCAUACAAUGGUCGGGACAGAGGUCGCCAACCCGCGAGGAGCCAAUCCCAGAAACCCGAUCGUAGUCCGGAUCGCAGUCUGCAACUCGACUGCGUGAAGUCGGAAUCGCUGGUAAUCGCGGAUCAGCAUGUCGCGGUGAAUACGUUCCGGGUCUUGCCACACCACGCCCGUCACACCAUGGGAGUGGGUUUUACCGAAGUAGUUAGCCUAACCGUAAGGAGGGCGAUUACCACGGUAGGAUUCAUGACUGGGGGUGAAGUCGUAACAAGGUAG